This is a long non-coding RNA of Trichechus manatus latirostris (Florida manatee), 285 nucleotides long. RefSeq lists it as uncharacterized. The record is from RefSeq and is a predicted model, not a curated record. NCBI's taxonomy places the organism in Eukaryota, Metazoa, Chordata, Mammalia, Sirenia, Trichechidae. The transcript has 3 exons.
UGUAAGUACAGAAGUGCUCAGAGCCCAAGAAGAAUGGGAAACCGUGGACAGCAUCCAGCCAGAGACAGAGACCCUGGAAGCUGGAAGAGCCUGUCUCCAGAAACUCAGCAUGUGCUCACCACAGCUUCGGCCCCCUUUCCCUGGCCCAGAGACCAGCCAGUUGAAUUCAGCCAACCGUUCGAAGGACUGGGCUUGCCGCCCUCCGGCACCUUCUCUUCGGUCCUCCAAAGCUCCACCAGGGCCUCCAUGAGGAAAGGGACCUGGUCCUGACCAUCGCUCAGUGUG